This 220-nucleotide unclassified non-coding RNA is filed under the name plant metagenome. RNAcentral's name for it is "partial contains small subunit ribosomal RNA and internal transcribed spacer 1". The stretch from base 1 to 46 matches the Rfam family "Eukaryotic small subunit ribosomal RNA", at positions 1786 to 1831 of the family's 1831-position model. The record is from RNAcentral.
AAGUCGUAACAAGGUUACCGUAGGUGAACCUGCGGUAGGAUCAUUAAAGAGAUAGGGUUCUUACGAGCCCGACCUCCAACCUUUGUCACACUCACUCUUGCGCGCGGCGCCGUACCUACGGCUGCCGCUGCUGCUGCGCUCUCGAGUGCCCGCCGCAGGACUAUACAAACUCUUUCUGAACAAGCAUAAUCUGAGUGGAUAUUUAAUGCUUCAAUUAAAA